This is a non-coding RNA of Lepisosteus oculatus (spotted gar), 2014 nucleotides long. The record is from RefSeq and is a predicted model, not a curated record. Lineage: Eukaryota; Metazoa; Chordata; Actinopteri; Semionotiformes; Lepisosteidae.
GGCCCGCUGCUUGUGAGGCGAAUGAGGUGAUUGUUCGAGAAAUGCUUUCUGCAUUGAUGCUCCUUCAUUUGCAUUCAGUGCCUGAGACCUGCCCGCGAAGCAGUGUCUCCUGUGACGGCAGCUCUCCACAGGUGACGGUGACUCAGACAGCUCUGUGUGCACGUGUGCCUGGUGGGGUGGGGACUCUGAAAGGGCUCCAGUUCACUUCACUUCCACUGUUCCACCAGGACAUGUUGGCACAAAGGUGUUUACUGAGGUCUGUCAUGUUAAACACAGAGACCCUACGGCAGAUCUCAUUAGAGAGUGCUUGUUCCCUUCCUCAAGUCUCAGUCCUGGAGAUGCUAGAGUCCACACCACGCAGGCAGGCAGCCAGCGCCAGAAUGACCAGCUCAGUGAUGCAGAAGUGCUGGGAGAAACCUGGACAGUUUCUGUAUGGCAGGGGUCUUUGAGUACAGCCGUCUAGCACGUUUCAUAGGUCUCUUUUAAACUCAUCAGCAGCACAAAACCUGAGGAAGAGCUUUACAUCAGAUCAAUUACUAUGUUUCUCAUUGGAACUCUGUCACGGCUGGAUCCUGAGAAAUUAAAUGCGGUGGGCAUUUUUCAUCAAGCGGCAGAAGCAGCUCAAAAAAACAAAAAAAUAUAGGAGCCUGUCUGCCUGUAUGUGGGAGAAGAAACUCUGAUUUCCCCGGCCUUUCAUUAAUCACGCAGACCCUGCAGACAGCGAUUGAGACAUCUGCCUGUCGCUAAUGAAGCCAGAUGACACCUAACAAAUGGCGACACUGCCAUUCUCUGACACAGGCUUUCUUCUAUCGCCCUGGCCUGAUGCCAGACCCGGCUCAGACAGCCUGGGCGCCGUGUGCAGAUCCCGGGGGUCUGAAUUCUUCUUUAUUGGUAACACUGGAGCUGAAGACAAAUAAGGAGAUUGAGACAUAAGCCAUGGCAUUAUUUCUUGGAGGUCAGAGAGUCGCUGUCAGACUUUUCAGGUGAAGACAGUAGUACUGUCAACAACGCAAUAUGGUCGGAGAAGCCGGAAGCAUGGAAGGGUCGUGGGGGAGCCAGUGUUUAUCCUGCCAAGGGUACACCCUGGACGGGAUGCCAAUCCUUCACAGGACGGACAGACACCGACAUGCACUCGCUCAUAUCAGAGCCAGUCAACCUACCAGCAUGUCUUUGGACUAUGAGGGGAAACUGGAGCAACCGGCGGAAUCCCAGGUGAACACAGAGAGAACAUACAAACUCCACACAGACAGCACCCCAGUUCUGGAAUUGAACCCAGUGCCCCAGACAGCAAUGCCAACCGCUGUGCCACUGCACCACUCAUUAAACCAUUCUCUCUACCCUAAAUGUGAUCCCUAUGCAUGCCCCAUUCAUGCCCUCGUGUCCUUGUUUCACUGCUGAUAACUAUGUGUCCAUCAGCAUCCCUUUGUCAAUAACCAUGACGAUUCUGCAGACUGUAUCAGCCCCCCCUGAUCUCCUCCGUUCUGGACAAAAAAAAUGGAUGCCUUUUAAUGUACUUGUGUGUGGCCCCUUUUUCGACAUGGACUUCUACUUCUUUCCAGUAGAGGGGCUUUUCACUUCUUCCUUUUCGUCCUCCAUGUCUGUGCGUUACUAUAUAUUCCAUAUGCCAUAUAUUCUCAAAAAAAGGGAUUUUAGAUUAAAUUAAAGGGUUCCAUAAAGGUAAGACGAACCCAUUCUGACCCAAGGCUUCUGGUUCCUGAGGUCUCCAGUCAACUGCUGGCCAGGCCAUGCAGAAGCACCAGAAAGUUCGGUUUUUGGCUGCAUUGCCCUGGAAGUUCCCAAGAGGCCUGACCUCGUGGCUCAGUUUCUCUGGAAAACCCAUUACUGGGAGUUGGAGCUCUCGCUCGAGCCAUCGUGCAGCUCUGUUCUAGAUGCCCUGCGUCUUGAGCCAAGCCUGGAGCAGAGCUGGCUGGCUUCCCCUGCUUUCAGAGGGCUCCUGACAUGAUACUGCAGGGAGGCAAAGACGCGUGGCAGAAGCCAACAGCAGAAAGACCGU